Molecule: ribosomal RNA, 320 nt
Filed under: uncultured eukaryote
Lineage: Eukaryota
Description: partial 18S ribosomal RNA
Rfam family: Eukaryotic small subunit ribosomal RNA
Source: RNAcentral
CCCCUAGAUGUUCUGGGCCGCAAGCGCGCUACACUGAACAGUUCAACAAGUCUUAACCUUGGCCGAUAGGUCUGGGUAAUCUUUGAACGCUGUUCGUGAUUGGGAUAGACCUUUGCAAUUAUGGGUCUUCAACGAGGAAUUCCUAGUAAACGCAAGUCAUCAGCUUGCAUUGAUUACGUCCCUGCCCUUUGUACACACCGCCCGUCGCACCUACCGAUUGAAUGGUCCGGUGAAAUCUCGGGACGGCGGCUUGGUCGCUUGCGUCCGACUGCUGAAACUUGAUUAAACCAUAUCAUUUAGAGGAAGGUGAAGUCGUAACA